Molecule: ribosomal RNA, 409 nt
Filed under: Pseudomonas sp.
Lineage: Bacteria; Pseudomonadati; Pseudomonadota; Gammaproteobacteria; Pseudomonadales; Pseudomonadaceae
Description: bacterial SSU rRNA
Rfam family: Bacterial small subunit ribosomal RNA
Source: RNAcentral
GGGUGAGUAAUGCCUAGGAAUCUGCCUGGUAGUGGGGGAUAACGUUCGGAAACGGACGCUAAUACCGCAUACGUCCUACGGGAGAAAGCAGGGGACCUUCGGGCCUUGCGCUAUCAGAUGAGCCUAGGUCGGAUUAGCUAGUUGGUGGGGUAAUGGCUCACCAAGGCGACGAUCCGUAACUGGUCUGAGAGGAUGAUCAGUCACACUGGAACAGAGACACGGUCCAGACUCCUACGGGAGGCAGCAGUGGGGAAUAUUGGACAAUGGGCGAAAGCCUGAUCCAGCCAUGCCGCGUGUGUGAAGAAAGUCUUCGGAUUGUAAAGCACUUUAAGUUGGGAGGAAGGGUUGUAGAUUAAUACUCUGCAAUUUUGACGUUACCGACAGAAUAAGCACCGGCUAACUCUGUGCC